Molecule: small nucleolar RNA, 97 nt
Organism: Cavia aperea (Brazilian guinea pig)
Lineage: Eukaryota; Metazoa; Chordata; Mammalia; Rodentia; Caviidae
Gene: SNORD21
Rfam family: Small nucleolar RNA SNORD21
About the family: U21 is a member of the C/D class of snoRNA which contain the C (UGAUGA) and D (CUGA) box motifs. U21 is encoded within an intron of the gene for ribosomal protein L5 in mammals, but within introns of the ADP ribosylation factor gene in Drosophila.
Source: Ensembl
AUUGAAUGAUGAUACCCUACUAACUUGGCAGUCAGUAAUUGGUCCUUUGGUUGCAUAUGAUGUAGUAAUUGUUACAAAAGAUGAGAGGGAUAGGAAA